RNAcentral lists this ribosomal RNA (830 nucleotides) under uncultured bacterium. Its description in RNAcentral is "bacterial SSU rRNA". It matches the Rfam family "Bacterial small subunit ribosomal RNA", at positions 59 to 882 of the family's 1533-position model. The record is from RNAcentral.
CAGUCGAGGGGCAGCGAGAUCAGUGCUUGCACUGAUUGUCGGCGACCGGCGCACGGGUGCGUAACGCGUAUGCAACCUACCCAUUACAGGGGGAUAACACUGAGAAAUCGGUACUAAUACCCCAUAACAUCCAGGGAGGCAUCUUCUUGGGUUGAAAACUCCGGUGGUAAUGGAUGGGCAUGCGUUGUAUUAGUUAGUUGGUGGGGUAACGGCUCACCAAGACAACGAUACAUAGGGGGACUGAGAGGUUAACCCCCCACAUUGGUACUGAGACACGGACCAAACUCCUACGGGAGGCAGCAGUGAGGAAUAUUGGUCAAUGGACGCAAGUCUGAACCAGCCAUGCCGCGUGCAGGAAGACGGCUCUAUGAGUUGUAAACUGCUUUUGUACGAGGGUAAACGCAGAUACGUGUAUCUGUCUGAAAGUAUCGUACGAAUAAGGAUCGGCUAACUCCGUGCCAGCAGCCGCGGUAAUACGGAGGAUUCAAGCGUUAUCCGGAUUUAUUGGGUUUAAAGGGUGCGUAGGCGGUCGGAUAAGUUAGAGGUGAAAUCCCGAGGCUCAACUUCGGAAUUGCCUCUGAUACUGUUCGGCUAGAGGGUAGUUGCGGUAGGCGGAAUGUAUGGUGUAGCGGUGAAAUGCUUAGAGAUCAUACAGAACACCGAUUGCGAAGGCAGCUUACCAAGCUACUUCUGACGUUGAGGCACGAAAGCGUGGGGAGCAAACAGGAUUAGAUACCCUGGUAGUCCACGCAGUAAACGAUGAUAACUCGUUGUCGGCGAUACAAUGUCGGUGACUAAGCGAAAGCGAUAAGUUAUCCACCUGGGGAGUA